Molecule: unclassified non-coding RNA, 200 nt
Filed under: soil metagenome
Description: partial contains internal transcribed spacer 2 and large subunit ribosomal RNA
Source: RNAcentral
GCGUCGUUAAAGACCAUAAGGCCAUGCCUUGCGAUGAGUUUCUGGUGUUUACGAAAGUAAAGCCAGUCGCUUCAAACUGAUUGGCGUCUGAAGUUAGCCAAGCACAGCAAAAUGUGUUCUGUCUCUAGCGAAGGAUUGCCCGUACCCAAAAUCAUUAAUUGGUCGACCUCGGAUCAGGCAAGAUUACCCGCUGAACUUAA